ACUAUGGAUAAAAUUCAUAUAAAUAAAACACGGUUUUUCUUACUUAAAAACUAUCCUUAUAUCACUUUUUCAAAAAGUAAUUUUCUAAGCCCUUGUUUGGUUGGGGCUUCAGGGAUAGAAUAAUCCCUUAACCCUCAUAUUAUCCCCAAACACUCCCAAAAAUGUGUGGAGUUAGCUAUCCUUCUUAUCCCGUCUACUCCAAUCAAACAUUAUUUUUCACUAUUCUGGACUAACUCCAACCCCCAACAAAACACAAAAUUACUUUAACCCCAACUUAACCCUGAACUUAACCCUAUUUGUAAAAUAAUUAGUUUUUUCUUAACCCCGAACCAAACGGUAGCUAAGAGAAUCUCUUCACUACUCAGGGCUAAUGC
RNAcentral lists this long non-coding RNA (374 nucleotides) under Ananas comosus (pineapple). RNAcentral's name for it is "long non-coding RNA (ACOM_LNC021628)". Lineage: Eukaryota; Viridiplantae; Streptophyta; Magnoliopsida; Poales; Bromeliaceae. The record is from RNAcentral.